ACCUUAGGGCCUCUUGCCAUCGGAUGUGCCCAGAUGGGAUUAGCUAGUAGGUGGGGUAACGGCUCACCUAGGCGACGAUCCCUAGCUGGUCUGAGAGGAUGACCAGCCACACUGGAACUGAGACACGGUCCAGACUCCUACGGGAGGCAGCAGUGGGGAAUAUUGCACAAUGGGCGCAAGCCUGAUGCAGCCAUGCCGCGUGUAUGAAGAAGGCCUUCGGGUUGUAAAGUACUUUCAGCGGGGAGGAAGGGAGUAAAGUUAAUACCUUUGCUCAUUGACGUUACCCGCAGAAGAAGCACCGGCUAACUCCG
RNAcentral lists this ribosomal RNA (311 nucleotides) under Escherichia sp. AJ(2010). RNAcentral describes it as "bacterial SSU rRNA". It matches the Rfam family "Bacterial small subunit ribosomal RNA", at positions 199 to 505 of the family's 1533-position model. Lineage: Bacteria; Pseudomonadati; Pseudomonadota; Gammaproteobacteria; Enterobacterales; Enterobacteriaceae. The record is from RNAcentral.